ACCCUCUUAAGAUUGCACCUGGAGAGUUUCCAGUACUCUACCAGUCUCGGCUAUGGGAGGGAGAGUCAAGCAGAGGCAUACCCAUUCCAUUCCUAGCUUGGCCCGUGGCUAGAAGGUGGAAGGCAAUCUGCUACAGGU
This is a small nucleolar RNA of Tachyglossus aculeatus (Australian echidna), 138 nucleotides long. The record is from RefSeq and is a predicted model, not a curated record. Lineage: Eukaryota; Metazoa; Chordata; Mammalia; Monotremata; Tachyglossidae.